This 253-nucleotide ribosomal RNA is filed under the name uncultured bacterium. RNAcentral's name for it is "partial 16S ribosomal RNA". It matches the Rfam family "Bacterial small subunit ribosomal RNA", at positions 524 to 776 of the family's 1533-position model. The record is from RNAcentral.
AACGUAGGAGGCAAACGUUAUCCGGAGUUACUGGGCGUAAAGGGCGUGUAGGUGGUUUCGUAAGUCUGGCGUGAAAUUUUUCGGCUUAACCGGGAAAGGUCGUCGGAUACUGCGGAACUAGAGGACGGUAGAGGCGUGUGGAAUUCCGGGUGUAGUGGUGAAAUGCGUAGAGAUCCGGAGGAACACCAAAGGCGAAGGCAGUGUCCUGGGGAGUACCUGACGCUCAGGUGCGAAAGCCAGGGGAGCGAACAGG